CCCUUAGAUGUCCUGGGCCGCACGCGCGUUACACUGAUGCAUUCAACGAGCUUAUAACCUUGGCCGAGAGGCCUGGGCAAUCUUGUUAACGUGCAUCGUGAUAGGGAUAGAUUAUUGAAAUUAUUAAUCUUGAACGAGGAAUUCCUAGUAAGCGCAGAUCAUCAAUCUGCAUUGAUUACGUCCCUGCCCUUUGUACACACCGCCCGUCGCACCUACCGAUUGGAUGGUCCGGUGAAGCCUCGGGAUUGUGGUUCUUGCCGCUUUAUUGUGGCGUGACCGCGAGAACUUGUCUAAACCUUAUCAUCUAGAGGAAGGUGAAGUCGUAACA
Molecule: ribosomal RNA, 328 nt
Filed under: uncultured eukaryote
Lineage: Eukaryota
Description: partial 18S ribosomal RNA
Rfam family: Eukaryotic small subunit ribosomal RNA
Source: RNAcentral